CUACGUGCCAGCAGCCGCGGUAAUACGUAGGGUGCGAGCGUUAAUCGGAAUUACUGGGCGUAAAGCGAGCGCAGACGGUUACUUAAGCAGGAUGUGAAAUCCCCGGGCUCAACCUGGGAACUGCAUUUGAAACUGGCAAGCUAGAGUCUCGUAGAGGGGGGUAGAAUUCCAGGUGUAGCGGUGAAAUGCGUAGAGAUCUGGAGGAAUACCGGUGGCGAAGGCGGCCCCCUGGACGAAGACUGACGCUCAGGUGCGAAAGCGUGGGGAGCAAACAGGAUUAGAUACCCUGGUAGUCCACGCUGUAAACGAUGUCGAUUUGGAGGUUGUGCCCUUGAGGCGUGGCUUCCGGAGCUAACGCGUUAAAUCGACCGCCUGGGGAGUACGGCCGCAAGGUUAAAACUCAAAUGAAUUGACGGGGGCCCGCACAAGCGGUGGAGCAUGUGGUUUAAUUCGAUGCAACGCGAAGAACCUUACCUACUCUUGACAUCCAGA
Molecule: ribosomal RNA, 492 nt
Filed under: uncultured bacterium
Lineage: Bacteria
Description: bacterial SSU rRNA
Rfam family: Bacterial small subunit ribosomal RNA
Source: RNAcentral